AGAGUUUGAUCCUGGCUCAGGAUGAACGCUGGCGGCGUGCCUAAUACAUGCAAGUCGAGCGAACGGAUAAGGAGCUUGCUCCUUUGAAGUUAGCGGCGGACGGGUGAGUAACACGUGGGUAACCUACCUAUAAGACUGGGAUAACUUCGGGAAACCGGAGCUAAUACCGGAUAACAUUUAGAACCGCAUGGUUCUAAAGUGAAAGAUGGUUUUGCUAUCACUUAUAGAUGGACCCGCGCCGUAUUAGCUAGUUGGUAAGGUAACGGCUUACCAAGGCGACGAUACGUAGCCGACCUGAGAGGGUGAUCGGCCACACUGGAACUGAGACACGGUCCAGACUCCUACGGGAGGCAGCAGUAGGGAAUCUUCCGCAAUGGGCGAAAGCCUGACGGAGCAACGCCGCGUGAGUGAUGAAGGGUUUCGGCUCGUAAAACUCUGUUAUUAGGGAGGAACAAAUGUGUAAGUAACUGUGCACAUCUUGACGGUACCUAAUCAGAAAGCCACGGCUAACUACGUGCCAGCAGCCGCGGUAAUACGUAGGUGGCAAGCGUUAUCCGGAAUUAUUGGGCGUAAAGCGCGCGUAGGCGGUUUCUUAAGUCUGAUGUGAAAGCCCACGGCUCAACCGUGGAGGGUCAUUGGAAACUGGGAAACUUGAGUGCAGAAGAGGAAAGUGGAAUUUCCAUGUGUAGCGGUGAAAUGCGCAGAGAUAUGGAGGAACACCAGUGGCG
This 728-nucleotide ribosomal RNA is filed under the name uncultured bacterium. RNAcentral's name for it is "bacterial SSU rRNA". It matches the Rfam family "Bacterial small subunit ribosomal RNA", at positions 8 to 717 of the family's 1533-position model. The record is from RNAcentral.